AAUAAACGCUGGCGGCGUGCCUAACACAUGCAAGUCGGGCGAGAAAGCUCCUUCGGGAGUGAGUACAGCGGCGAACGGGUGAGCAACGCGUGGGUGAUCUGCCCUUGGGUUGGGGAUAGCCAUUAGAAAUAGUGGGUAAUACCGAAUACGAUGGCGAGACUGUGGUCUUGUCAUGAAAGGCGCUUCGGCGCCACCCGAGGAUGAGCCCGCGUCCCAUUAGCUAGUUGGUGAGGUAACGGCCCACCAAGGCGAUGAUGGGUAGGCGGCCUGAGAGGGUGUACGCCCACACUGGGACUGAGAUACGGCCCAGACUCCUACGGGAGGCAGCAGCUAAGAAUAUUCCGCAAUGGACGAAAGUCUGACGGAGCGACGCCGCGUGGAUGACGAAGGCCGAAAGGUUGUAAAAUCCUUUUGUUGGGGAAGAAUAAGGCUGGGAGGGAAUGCCCGGCUGAUGACAUGAACCGACGAAUAAGUCCCGGCUAACUACGUGCCAGCCGCCGCAGUAA
Molecule: ribosomal RNA, 506 nt
Filed under: uncultured bacterium
Lineage: Bacteria
Description: partial 16S ribosomal RNA
Rfam family: Bacterial small subunit ribosomal RNA
Source: RNAcentral